This 350-nucleotide ribosomal RNA is filed under the name uncultured Latescibacterota bacterium. RNAcentral's name for it is "bacterial SSU rRNA". It matches the Rfam family "Bacterial small subunit ribosomal RNA", at positions 1032 to 1382 of the family's 1533-position model. Lineage: Bacteria; Pseudomonadati; Candidatus Latescibacterota. The record is from RNAcentral.
GCACAGUGCUGCAUGGCUGUCGUCAGCUCGUGUCGUGAGAUGUUGGGUUAAGUCCCGCAACGAGCGCAACCCUUAUCCCUAGUUGCCAUCAGGUAAAGCUGGGAACUCUGGGGAGACUGCCGGUGAUAAACCGGAGGAAGGCGGGGAUGACGUCAAGUCCUCAUGGCCCUUACAUCCCGGGCUACACACGUGCUAUAAUGGCAGGUACAGAGGGCUGCGAAGCCGCGAGGUGGAGCGAAUCCCAGAAAACCUGUCUCAGUCCGGAUUGAAGUCUGCAACUCGACUUCAUGAAGGCGGAAUCGCUAGUAACCGCGAAUCAGCAGGUCGCGGUGAAUACGUUCCCGGGUCUU